CUUCCGGUAGCUCAGUCGGUAAGAAGCGUCAGUCUCAUAAUCUGAAGGUCGAGAGUUCGAACCUCUCCCCGGAGCA
Molecule: transfer RNA, 76 nt
Filed under: Henningerozyma blattae CBS 6284
Lineage: Eukaryota; Fungi; Ascomycota; Saccharomycetes; Saccharomycetales; Saccharomycetaceae
Description: Tetrapisispora blattae CBS 6284 tRNA-Met
Rfam family: tRNA
About the family: Transfer RNA (tRNA) molecules are approximately 80 nucleotides in length. Their secondary structure includes four short double-helical elements and three loops (D, anti-codon, and T loops).
Source: RNAcentral